Molecule: ribosomal RNA, 406 nt
Filed under: uncultured bacterium
Lineage: Bacteria
Description: partial 16S ribosomal RNA
Rfam family: Bacterial small subunit ribosomal RNA
Source: RNAcentral
AGUGAACGCUGGCGGCGUGCCUAACACAUGCAAGUCGAACGAGUGGCGCCCGGGUGAGUAAUGUAUACUAAGCUGCUCAACACUAGAGGGCAACAGUUGGUAACGAAUGCAGAUAAUCUAUAGUGUAGGAUGGGGCUAUAUUGUAGCAGCUAGUUGGUGGGGUAAUGGAUCACCACGGCUAUGACGCAUAACUGGGCUGAGAGGAUGAACAGUCACACUGGAACUGAGACACGGUCCAGACUCCUACGGGAGGCAGCAGUGGGGAAUUUUGGACAAUGGGGGAAACCCUGAUCCAGCCAUGCCGCGUGUACGAUGAAGGCCUUCGGGUUGUAAAGCACUUUUGGCAGGAAAGCGUUACCUGCAGAAUAAGCACCGGCUAACUACGUGCCAGCAGCCGCGGUAAUUC